UUGCUUUGGCAGCACCUAUACUAUAACAGGAACAGAGAAGAUUAGCAUGGUCCCUGUGCAAGGAUGACACAUAAAUUGGUAAAGUGUUCCAUAUUAAA
Loxodonta africana (African savanna elephant) is the source of this 98-nucleotide small nuclear RNA. Lineage: Eukaryota; Metazoa; Chordata; Mammalia; Proboscidea; Elephantidae. The record is from Ensembl.